UCCUCCAAGGCUAAAUACUCCUGACUGACCGAUAGUGAACCAGUACCGUGAGGGAAAGGCGAAAAGAACCCCGGCGAGGGGAGUGAAAAAGAACCUGAAACCGUGUACGUACAAGCAGUGGGAGCACAGGUUUACCUGUGUGACUGCGUACCUUUUGUAUAAUGGGUCAGCGACUUAUAUUCUGUAGCAAGGUUAACCGUAUAGGGGAGCCGUAGGGAAACCGAGUCUUAACCGGGCGUUAAGUUGCAGGGUAUAGACCCGAAACCCGGUGAUCUAGCCAUGGGCAGGUUGAAGGUUGGGUAACACUAACUGGAGGACCGAACCGAC
RNAcentral lists this ribosomal RNA (327 nucleotides) under Salmonella enterica subsp. enterica serovar London. Its description in RNAcentral is "partial 23S ribosomal RNA". It matches the Rfam family "Bacterial large subunit ribosomal RNA", at positions 456 to 783 of the family's 2925-position model. The record is from RNAcentral. Lineage: Bacteria; Pseudomonadati; Pseudomonadota; Gammaproteobacteria; Enterobacterales; Enterobacteriaceae.